GACGAACGCUGGCGGCGUGCUUAACACAUGCAAGUCGAACGAGGUCCACUGCGUAGCAAUACAAGGGAAGACCUAGUGGCGAACGGGUGCGUAACACGUGAGGAACUUGUCCCGGUCUCUGGGAUAACAGUUGGAAACGACUGCUAAUACCGGAUGACGUCGGAAUCUCGCAUGGGAUACUGACGAAAGGGUUACUGGAUCGGGAGAGCCUCGCGGCCUAUCAGCUUGUUGGUGAGGUAACGGCUCACCAAGGCAUCGACGGGUAGCUGGUCUGAGAGGAUGAUCAGCCACACUGGGACUGAGACACGGCCCAGACUCCUACGGGAGGCAGCAGUGGGGAAUCUUGCGCAAUGGGCGAAAGCCUGACGCAGCAACGCCGCGUGCGGGAAGAAGGCCCUCGGGUUGUAAACCGCUUUCAGUAGGAACGAAAUGACGGUACCUGCAGAAGAAGGUGCGGCCAACUACGUGCCAGCAGCCGCGGUAAU
RNAcentral lists this ribosomal RNA (485 nucleotides) under uncultured bacterium. RNAcentral's name for it is "bacterial SSU rRNA". It matches the Rfam family "Bacterial small subunit ribosomal RNA", at positions 28 to 524 of the family's 1533-position model. The record is from RNAcentral.